Molecule: ribosomal RNA, 601 nt
Filed under: uncultured bacterium
Lineage: Bacteria
Description: bacterial SSU rRNA
Rfam family: Bacterial small subunit ribosomal RNA
Source: RNAcentral
CUGGCGGCAUGUNUAAAGCAUGCACGUCUGGGCAGAACCUUCGGGGGAAACCGGCGAAAGGGCGAGUAAUGCGAUCGAACGUACCCCAAUGUGGGGGAUAGCGUCGGGAAACUGGCGGUAAUAUCCCGUGUGCUCUACGGAGGAAGUUGGGAGCGGCGAUCGUCCUAUCAGGUUGUUGGCGGGGUAAAGGCCCACCAAGCCGAAGACGGGUAGCGGGUGUGAGAGCAUGGCCCGCCGCAUCGGGACUGAGACACUGCCCGGACUCCUACGGGAGGCUGCAGCGACGAAUCUUCCGCAAUGCGCGAAAGCGUGACGGAGCAAUGCCGCGUGUAGGAUGAGGGCGCUCUGCGUCGUAAACUACUGUCAGACCCUAGAACCAACGAUCAGGGUCAGAGGAAGGGCCGGCUAAACUCGUGCCAGCAGCCGCGGUAAUACGAGUGGCCCAAGCGUUAAUCGGAAUCACUGGGCUUAAAGCGUGCGCAGGCGGACCUUCAGGCGUCCCGUGAAAUACCCCGGCUCAACCGGGGAAUGGCUGGGCGAACCGUUGGUCANGAGGCAGGUAGGGGGGUCCAAAACUGUCGGUGGACCGGUGAAAAUGCCU